AGAUUGAACGCUGGCGGCAUGCCUAACACAUGCAAGUCGAACGGGAGUAGCAAUACUCUAGUGGCGGACGGGUGAGGAAUACGUAGGAAUUUGCCCUUAAGUGGGGGAUAACCCGGGGAAACCCGGAUUAAUACCGCAUGACCUCGAAAGAGCAAAGUGGGGGAUCGCAAGACCUCACGCUUUUGGAGAAGCCUACGUCGGAUUAGCUAGUUGGUGAGGUAAUGGCUCACCAAGGCGACGAUCCGUAACUGGUCUGAGAGGAUGAUCAGUCACACCGGAACUGAGACGACGGUCCGGACUCCGUACGGGAGGCAGCAGGUGGGGAAUAGUUGGACAA
RNAcentral lists this ribosomal RNA (337 nucleotides) under uncultured soil bacterium. Its description in RNAcentral is "bacterial SSU rRNA". It matches the Rfam family "Bacterial small subunit ribosomal RNA", at positions 26 to 371 of the family's 1533-position model. The record is from RNAcentral.